GGGCCCGCACAAGCAGUGGAGUAUGUGGUUUAAUUCGAAGCAACGCGAAGAACCUUACCAGGUCUUGACAUCGUGCGCAUAAUGCAGAGAUGCAUGAAGUCCCUUCGGGGACGCAUAGACAGGUGGUGCAUGGUCGUCGUCAGCUCGUGUCGUGAGAUGUUGGGUUAAGUCCCGCAACGAGCGCAACCCUUGUUGGCAGUUACUACGAGAAGAGGACUCUGCCGAGACUGCCGUUGACAAAACGGAGGAAGGUGGGGAUGACGUCAGAUCAUCAUGCCCUUUAUGACCUGGGCUACACACGUACUACAAUGGCGACUAACAAAGAGAAGCGAACCUGCGAAGGCAAGCAAAACUGUUAAAAGUCGUCUCAGUUCGGAUUGCAGGCUGCAACCCGCCUGCAUGAAGUCGGAAUUGCUAGUAAUCGCGGAUCAGCAUGCCGCGGUGAAUACGUUCCCGGGCCUU
Molecule: ribosomal RNA, 462 nt
Filed under: uncultured bacterium
Lineage: Bacteria
Description: bacterial SSU rRNA
Rfam family: Bacterial small subunit ribosomal RNA
Source: RNAcentral